AGAAAGUAUCUUCGGAUAUGAUUAGAGCGGCGGACGGGUGAGUAACGCGUAGGAAUCUACCUAGUAGAAGGGGAUAGCCCGAGGAAACUCGGAUUAAUACCGUAUACCUCCUCCGGGAGAAAGAAGGCCUCUCUUUGAAGCUUUCGCUACUAGAUGAGCCUGCGUAAGAUUAGCUUGUUGGUGAGGUAAAGGCUCACCAAGGCUACGAUCUUUAGCGGGUCUGAGAGGACGAUCCGCCACAUUGGGACUGAGACACGGCCCAGACUCCUACGGGAGGCAGCAGUGGGGAAUAUUGGACAAUGGGCGAAAGCCUGAUCCAGCCAUACCGCGUGUGUGAAGAAGGCCUUAGGGUUGUAAAGCACUUUAAGUUGGGAAGAAAGGUUAUUGGCUAAUACCCAAUAACUGUGACAUUACCAUCAGAAUAAGGACCGGCUAAUUCCGUGCCAGCAGCCGCGGUAAUACGGAAGGUCCAAGCGUUAAUCGGAAUUACUGGGCGUAAAGCGCGCGUAGGUGGUUUAUUAAGUUGGAUGUGAAAGCCCCGGGCUCAACCUGGGAACUGCAUCCAAAACUGAUUCACUAGAGUACGAUAGAGGGAGGUAGAAUUCACAGUGUAGCGGUGGAAUGCGUAGAUAUUGUGAAGAAUACCAAUGGCGAAGGCAGCCUCCUGGAUCUGUACUGACACUGAGGUGCGAAAGCGUGGGUAGCGAACAGGAUUAGAUACCCUGGUAGUCCACGCCGUAAACGAUGUCAACUAGCUGUUGGAAAGCAUUGCUUUUCAGUGGCGCAGCUAACGUAGUAAGUUGACCGCC
This 809-nucleotide ribosomal RNA is filed under the name uncultured Gammaproteobacteria bacterium. RNAcentral's name for it is "bacterial SSU rRNA". It matches the Rfam family "Bacterial small subunit ribosomal RNA", at positions 69 to 873 of the family's 1533-position model. Lineage: Bacteria; Pseudomonadati; Pseudomonadota; Gammaproteobacteria. The record is from RNAcentral.